UACGGGGGGGGCAAGCGUGGUUCGGAAUUACUGGGCGUAAAGGGCUCGUAGGCGGCCAACUAAGUCAGACGUGAAAUCCCUCGGCUUAACCGGGGAACUGCGUCUGAUACUGGAUGGCUUGAGUUUGGGAGAGGGAUGCGGAAUUCCAGGUGUAGCGGUGAAAUGCGUAGAUAUCUGGAGGAACACCGGUGGCGAAGGCGGCAUCCUGGACCAACACUGACGCUGAGGAGCGAAAGCCAGGGGAGCAAACGGG
RNAcentral lists this ribosomal RNA (253 nucleotides) under uncultured bacterium. RNAcentral's name for it is "partial 16S ribosomal RNA". It matches the Rfam family "Bacterial small subunit ribosomal RNA", at positions 524 to 776 of the family's 1533-position model. The record is from RNAcentral.